Molecule: non-coding RNA, 72 nt
Organism: Heligmosomoides polygyrus
Lineage: Eukaryota; Metazoa; Nematoda; Chromadorea; Rhabditida; Heligmosomidae
Source: Rfam
GCCUCUAUAGCUCAGUGGCAGAGCGUCUGUCUUGUAAACAGAAGGUCUGUGGUUCGAUCCCGCAUAGAGGCA